GUGCUUAAACAUGCAAGUCGAACGGUGAAAGAGAGCUUGCUCUCUGGAUCAGUGGCGAACGGGUGAGUAACACGUGAGCAAUCUGCCCCUGACUCUGGGAUAAGCGCUGGAAACGGCGUCUAAUACCGGAUACGAGCUGCGAAGGCAUCUUCAGCAGCUGGAAAGAACUUCGGUCAGGGAUGAGCUCGCGGCCUAUCAGCUAGUUGGUGAGGUAAUGGCUCACCAAGGCGUCGACGGGUAGCCGGCCUGAGAGGGUGACCGGCCACACUGGGACUGAGACACGGCCCAGACUCCUACGGGAGGCAGCAGUGGGGAAUAUUGCACAAUGGGCGCAAGCCUGAUGCAGCAACGCCGCGUGAGGGACGACGGCCUUCGGGUUGUAAACCUCUUUUAGCAAGGAAGAAGCGAAAGUGACGGUACUUGCAGAAAAAGCGCCGGCUAACUACGUGCCAGCAGCCGCGGUAAUACGUAGGGCGCAAGCGUUAUCCGGAAUUAUUGGGCGUAAAGAGCUCGUAGGCGGUUUGUCGCGUCUGCUGUGAAAACCCGAGGCUCAACCUCGGGCCUGCAGUGGGUACGGGCAGACUAGAGUGCGGUAGGGGAGAUUGGAAUUCCUGGUGUAGCGGUGGAAUGCGCAGAUAUCAGGAGGAACACCGAUGGCGAAGGCAGAUCUCUGGGCCGUAACUGACGCUGAGGAGCGAAAGGGUGGGGAGCAAACAGGCUUAGAUACCCUGGUAGUCCACCCCGUAAACGUUGGGAACUAGUUGUGGGGUCCAUUCCACGGAUUCCGUGACGCAGCUAACGCAUUAAGUUCCCCGCCUGGGGAGUACGGCCGCAAGGCUAAAACUCAAAGGAAUUGACGGGGACCCGCACAAGCGGCGGAGCAUGCGGAUUAAUUCGAUGCAACGCGAAGAACCUUACCAAGGCUUGACAUAUACGAAAACGGGCCAGAAAUGGUCAACUCUUUGGACACUCGUAAACAGGUGGUGCAUGGUUGUCGUCACCUCGUGUCUUGAAAUGUUGGGUUAAGUCCCGCAACGAGCGCAACCCUCGUUCAUGUUGCCAGCCCUU
RNAcentral lists this ribosomal RNA (1068 nucleotides) under Microbacterium sp. RNAcentral describes it as "bacterial SSU rRNA". It matches the Rfam family "Bacterial small subunit ribosomal RNA", at positions 44 to 1126 of the family's 1533-position model. The record is from RNAcentral. Lineage: Bacteria; Bacillati; Actinomycetota; Actinomycetes; Micrococcales; Microbacteriaceae.